This is a long non-coding RNA of Rhincodon typus (whale shark), 829 nucleotides long. RefSeq lists it as uncharacterized. The transcript is spliced from 3 exons. Lineage: Eukaryota; Metazoa; Chordata; Chondrichthyes; Orectolobiformes; Rhincodontidae. The record is from RefSeq and is a predicted model, not a curated record.
GCCAGCUCUCAUUUGAUAGUUGCAGAGUAUGAACUGGUUCCUACUGGAUGAUGAGGUGGCUAUCCAAUUGAGAACGUUUUCAAACUGGAUUUCAAUUGAUUCAUGGUGAUCUGAAUACCUUUGGCCCUGGAAAGAUUCAGCCUUGUCUGCUAUGUCUGUGGGAACUCGUGGAAACAGAGGGAGCAAAACAUUAGAGGACAAGAGAAUACACAGGUCCAGUGGGAGACAGAAACCCAAUGGUGCCAUCAGCCAUUGGCAAUGCUUAACUGCUGUGUAAAAUGGUGAGGACUUAUGAUGCAGACGGUUGAGCAGUUUAGAGGAAGCAGGACCAAAACAGCUGAGUCAACAUUCCUGGCUAAGAUUGAGCCUGAUCAAAUGAUGACAUUAUCCAAAAGUAUAUGAUUAAGAAGGAUCACGUGAAUUGACCUCACCAUAGUGUCAAAAGAAGAAGAUGAAUUCUUUCAGAUGUCCAACUAUUUCCUCUGAUACUAUUUAAGGAAGCUACUGGCCCUCCAAGGUAAAUCAACACUCAACAGCAAUAUUAAUGCCAGAAAACAUUUCCAGCAAAGCUCACCUGGAAAAUUGAAGAUUUGUCAGAGUUCCAGGGUGGCAGCAAACUGUAACUUUCAUCCUCCAUCAGCAGAUUUCGAAUGCACCAAGUCAACAGUCAUUUAUAAAUCAGAGACUUAUGGGUUUUAAGGGGAAACAGGGUGGAGAUAACCUUCUUUUUACUUGUUUGAAACCAUUGUAAUAAUAAUUUAAUGACCAGAAAGAAAAACUUUUUGUAUUAGACAGUUCGGAUCCAUAAAGGUAAACUGAAAUCAUGAGA